UACGGGGGGAGCAAGCGUUGUUCGGAUUUACUGGGCGUAAAGGGCGCGUAGGCGGUAGCACAAGUCAGUUGUGAAAUCUCCGGGCUUAACUCGGAAAGGUCAACUGAUACUGUGCGACUAGAGUGCAGAAGGGGCAACUGGAAUUCUCGGUGUAGCGGUGAAAUGCGUAGAUAUCGGGAGGAACACCAGUGGCGAAGGCGACUACCUGGCCUGUUCUUGACGCUGAGGCGCGAAAGCUAGGGGAGCAAACGGG
Molecule: ribosomal RNA, 253 nt
Filed under: uncultured bacterium
Lineage: Bacteria
Description: partial 16S ribosomal RNA
Rfam family: Bacterial small subunit ribosomal RNA
Source: RNAcentral